RNAcentral lists this non-coding RNA (106 nucleotides) under marine eukaryotic metagenome. RNAcentral's name for it is "Moco (molybdenum cofactor) riboswitch". It matches the Rfam family "Molybdenum/Tungsten riboswitch aptamer (Moco RNA motif)", at positions 11 to 121 of the family's 135-position model. The record is from RNAcentral.
CUAAAUACUCCGAGUCUUUUUUCCUUUUUAUAUUUUAUCAAAAUGGAAUUAAGGCCGUUAGGGUAUCAUUGGAAACUUUGAUGCCUCCCGAAGUGGAAAGGAGUAG